CGAAUACCGGAGAAUGUUAUCACGGGAGACACACGGCGGGUGCUAACGUCCGUCGUGAAGAGGGAAACAACCCAGACCGCCAGCUAAGGUCCCAAAGUCAUGGUUAAGUGGGAAACGAUGUGGGAAGGCCCAGACAGCCAGGAUGUUGGCUUAGAAGCAGCCAUCAUUUAAAGAAAGCGUAAUAGCUCACUGGUCGAGUCGGCCUGCGCGGAAGAUGUAACGGGGCUAAACCAUGCACCGAAGCUGCGGCAGCGACGCUUAUGCGUUGUUGGGUAGGGGAGCGUUCUGUAAGCCUGUGAAGGUGUGCUGUGAGGCAUGCUGGAGGUAUCAGAAGUGCGAAUGCUGACAUAAGUAACGAUAAAGCGGGUGAAAAGCCCGCUCGCCGGAAGACCAAGGGUUCCUGUCCAACGUUAAUCGGGGCAGGGUGAGUCGACCCCUAAGGCGAGGCCGAAAGGCGUAGUCGAUGGGAAACAGGUUAAUAUUCCUGUACUUGGUGUUACUGCGAAGGGGGGACGGAGAAGGCUAUGUUGGCCGGGCGACGGUUGUCCCGGUUUAAGCGUGUAGGCUGGUUUUCCAGGCAAAUCCGGAAAAUCAAGGCUGAGGCGUGAUGACGAGGCACUACGGUGCUGAAGCAACAAAUGCCCUGCUUCCAGGAAAAGCCUCUAAGCAUCAGGUAACAUCAAAUCGUACCCCAAACCGACACAGGUGGUCAGGUAGAGAAUACCAAGGCGCUUGAGAGAACUCGGGUGAAGGAACUAGGCAAAAUGGUGCCGUAACUUCGGGAGAAGGCACGCUGAUAUGUAGGUGAAGUCCCUCGCGGAUGGAGCUGAAAUCAGUCGAAGAUACCAGCUGGCUGCAACUGUUUAUUAAAAACACAGCACUGUGCAAACACGAAAGUGGACGUAUACGGUGUGACGCCUGCCCGGUGCCGGAAGGUUAAUUGAUGGGGUUAGCGCAAGCGAAGCUCUUGAUCGAAGCCCCGGUAAACGGCGGCCGUAACUAUAACGGUCCUAAGGUAGCGAAAUUCCUUGUCGGGUAAGUUCCGACCUGCACGAAUGGCGUAAUGAUGGCCAGGCUGUCUCCACCCGAGACUCAGUGAAAUUGAACUCGCUGUGAAGAUGCAGUGUACCCGCGGCAAGACGGAAAGACCCCGUGAACCUUUACUAUAGCUUGACACUGAACAUUGAGCCUUGAUGUGUAGGAUAGGUGGGAGGCUUUGAAGUGUGGACGCCAGUCUGCAUGGAGCCGACCUUGAAAUACCACCCUUUAAUGUUUGAUGUUCUAACGUUGACCCGUGAUCCGGGUUGCGGACAGUGUCUGGUGGGUAGUUUGACUGGGGCGGUCUCCUCCUAAAGAGUAACGGAGGAGCACGAAGGUUGGCUAAUCCUGGUCGGACAUCAGGAGGUUAGUGCAAUGGCAUAAGCCAGCUUGACUGCGAGCGUGACGGCGCGAGCAGGUGCGAAAGCAGGUCAUAGUGAUCCGGUGGUUCUGAAUGGAAGGGCCAUCGCUCAACGGAUAAAAGGUACUCCGGGGAUAACAGGCUGAUACCGCCCAAGAGUUCAUAUCGACGGCGGUGUUUGGCACCUCGAUGUCGGCUCAUCACAUCCUGGGGCUGAAGUAGGUCCCAAGGGUAUGGCUGUUCGCCAUUUAAAGUGGUACGCGAGCUGGGUUUAGAACGUCGUGAGACAGUUCGGUCCCUAUCUGCCGUGGGCGCUGGAGAA
RNAcentral lists this ribosomal RNA (1721 nucleotides) under Escherichia coli. Its description in RNAcentral is "partial 23S ribosomal RNA". It matches the Rfam family "Bacterial large subunit ribosomal RNA", at positions 957 to 2661 of the family's 2925-position model. The record is from RNAcentral. Lineage: Bacteria; Pseudomonadati; Pseudomonadota; Gammaproteobacteria; Enterobacterales; Enterobacteriaceae.